RNAcentral lists this ribosomal RNA (431 nucleotides) under uncultured bacterium. RNAcentral describes it as "partial 16S ribosomal RNA". It matches the Rfam family "Bacterial small subunit ribosomal RNA", at positions 29 to 507 of the family's 1533-position model. The record is from RNAcentral.
AACGAACGCUGGCGGCAGGCCUAACACAUGCAAGUCGAGCGCACCGCAAGUGCAGUGGCGGGCGGGUGAGUAGCGCGUGGGUACGUACCCUUUGCUACGGACUAGCCUCGGGAAACUGGUAGCAGUACCGUACUUGUCCUACGGGAGACAGAUGUAUCGGCAAGGUAUUGGCUCGUGUUGGAUUAGUUGGUUGGUGGGGUAAUGGCCUACCAAGCGGGCGAUCCGUAGCUGGGAUGAGAGGAUGAUCCGCCACACUGGGGCUGAGACACGGCCUGGACUUCUGCGGAAGGCAGCAGUGCUGAACCUUAGACAAUGGGGGCGAGCCUGAUCUAGCCAGGCCGCGUAAGCGAUUAAUGCGUUAAGGAUGGGAAGCACUUUCAGAGGGGAAGAUAGUGACGGUACCUCCAGAAGAAGCCCCGGCUAACUCCGUG